GAAUAUUUACAUGGUUCACUUCUAUUUGGUGAUCUUAGAUGCUAGAGAAAUUGCCUUGCUCUCUAAGUCCUCACACCUGUGCAGAGCCAAUCUCUUCAUCACUGUUAAGAUUUAAGAAUAUGAAUUAUUCAAAUUAGUUAUAAGAAUGCUUGCUAAUAGUUAACUAUGUUUUGACGAGUUGCACCAUUUGGUCCAAAUUUACUUUAUGAAAAGAGAGGGAAAGAAAAUGGUAGGAAACAGAUGCCGGUUUUGGUUUGGGUAAAAACAUUGUGGUUCCAAAUUCUCAUCCCAACCACCCUUCUACACUUUCCUAAUUUUCUCUACAAUAGCAACACGAAUGACGAUUAAUAGGAGAAUAGAGCAUUACCUCUGGGUAGCAAUUUUGGUGAGUAACUGUCUGAUUGCGUGUGUUUACGAUGAUUUCACAUGAUACUGUUGUCUGUAGACAUAAAAAAAAGAAGGAUCAUGUUAUAAUUGCUCGCACAUCAGCAUCCCUUAAGAAAACCAAAAGCAUAUUUUUCAUCUGAAGCUCAUCAAGGAAACACACCCUUAGCAUUUUGCAUUUUUGAGAUGUAAAUGGAACCAAUCUCAACGAGGAAUAUAUAUAAUCGUCCACCUCAUACAAAUAUAACAUCAACAUAGCACCAAAAUCAUCCUUAAAAAAAAUAAAAAUUGGGGGAAUACAUAAUGAAAUUGUGCAGACUGCUGAGUCCAAAUUUCAAGAUUUAAAGGGUGGAAUACAUGGUUAGUAUAAUACUAUAUCAUACCGUUGUAGCAAACUAUCAACUCAUCUUAAGAAAUAAGUAUACUAUCCAACAAUGAAUAACAAUAAUCAAUUAUGCUCCCAUCUGCAGUCUGUUUGAUUCAAGGUACCUAUCCUCACAUCUCCUAGUUUAUGGAUUUGCUCUAAUUUAUAUAUAUAUAAAAAAAAUAUUCAAGACACAAUGACAUGUGAUUUAAGUCAACAAAGAUGCCCCAAUAAGCAUAAGGCAGUAUUGAUUUCUAAAUUAGAACGAUAUAAACCUAACAAUUUUACAAUUUGUAGAAAUUUCAAACUAGAAAAUGUUAUUAUAAUCUUUGACAGAUUUCUGUAUAGCUACAAAUACUUUUUAUAGCUAAAAGUUUCUAACUACAGCUCGUAAGUAGCAUUAGCUGAUUCAUAAUCUGAGAACAUAGAAGACUUGAACAAGAGAUUGAAGAAAAAUAAUGCAAAAACGAAAAGCGAAAAAUUCGCAUCAAUAUUAUACAAAAACAUACCAUUUCAAGAGUGCAGGUGGUGGGGAAGGCGGCGAGGCGGCUACCACCGAAAAAACAAAUGCUGUUAAACCUGAUCUAGGCAAUCAAAUUGGGGGAGCCAUAUACCUAAUUGACAUAUCCUAAUACGCACUAGACCCAAUUUGACAGAAAAAUUGCAAAAUCAAAAUAGCUAGCACAGAAGAUCUUUAAAACGUAAUUAAUUAAAUCUAAAUCAAUAAACCGGAAGUAAACAAAGCAAUAAACCGGAAGUAAACAAAGCAUGUCAUCAAUUAAAAGCAGCAGCAAUGCAAAUAUCAGCUUAUCGAAAACUAGUGAAAAAACAAAAAGUUCG
Molecule: long non-coding RNA, 1588 nt
Filed under: Salvia miltiorrhiza (redroot sage)
Lineage: Eukaryota; Viridiplantae; Streptophyta; Magnoliopsida; Lamiales; Lamiaceae
Description: long non-coding RNA (SMIL_LNC007598)
Source: RNAcentral